UACGGGGGGAGCAAGCGUUGUUCGGAUUUACUGGGCGUAAAGGGCGCGUAGGCGGCCAGCGCAAGUCAGUUGUGAAAUCUCCGGGCUUAACUCGGAACGGUCAACUGAUACUGCGCGGCUAGAGUGCAGAAGGGGCAACUGGAAUUCUCGGUGUAGCGGUGAAAUGCGUAGAUAUCGAGAGGAACACCUGCGGCGAAGGCGGGUUGCUGGGCUGACACUGACGCUGAUGCGCGAAAGCCAGGGGAGCGAGCGGG
RNAcentral lists this ribosomal RNA (254 nucleotides) under uncultured bacterium. RNAcentral's name for it is "partial 16S ribosomal RNA". It matches the Rfam family "Bacterial small subunit ribosomal RNA", at positions 524 to 776 of the family's 1533-position model. The record is from RNAcentral.